GAGAGACAGGCCGCGUGAGAGGGUGGCACACUGAUCCUCUCUGGCCAUACAGGGCUCCCGGGGGCCACGAGCAGAGGUGUGGGGCCUGGUGGCCCUGGUCACCCUGAAAAAGGCAAAUCGACACUACAUCUUCCUCAGUCUUUGCAGGAACCGGGCCUGGUGAUGGUCACCAGGGCUCCUGAUGGAUAUGAUGACAUAGAGGCUGCCCUCGAAAUGCCAGCGAGGUGGUUAAAAGCACUGGCCAGAAUGAGGAAUGCAGAGAUGUGAGAACAGGCUCAUAGCCCAUCAGACUGUAUUAAGCUAAGCAAUACAGGUGUCCACUUGCCAGCACAGUCGCCGUCGCCAAGGCCACAUCACCCACAGGGGGUGGAGGAAGAAGCCAUGCGGAUUCAAGGUGCUGAACUUCAACCAUAGACGCUCCUUAUAGCAUCAGACGAGGUUUCCUUUUCACUUAAAAGAAAGGUGCCGUGUGAUGUCUCCCAGAUGUGUGCCUUGGAAGCUGUGACACAAGGCAACUGUGUGGUUGCCUCACCUGGGCUGCUGAAGCAGCGUGAACCCCAAUUGCUGCUUUAUUCUGUACGUGCACUGAUGGUCUGCUUUGUUUUGUGUCUCUUUGUUUAAUAAUUACGUUUGAGGUUGGAGGAGUAGGAAGGGGGAGGCAAGAAUUUGAUUUUGUGUGAGUGUGUGUGUCAUAAUGCUAAACUAAGAAAUAAACCCAGUUCAACUACAUAGCAGAUUUAGUCAAUAGCUGGCAGUUAUAAUUAGUACAUGCAAUGUAUUACUGCUGAGGAAUAUUGAGAAGGCAAAAAAAAAAAAAAAAAAUCUGAAUGCAUUUAAGUGGAAAAUAUCUUCCAAACCUGCAGGCAAAUACCCUGGUGCUGAGU
Molecule: long non-coding RNA, 884 nt
Organism: Equus caballus (horse)
Lineage: Eukaryota; Metazoa; Chordata; Mammalia; Perissodactyla; Equidae
Source: RefSeq, a predicted model, not a curated record